GAUGAACGCUGGUGGCGUGCCUAAUACAUGCAAGUCGAGCGAACGGACGAGAAGCUUGCUUCUCUGAUGUUAGCGGCGGACGGGUGAGUAACACGUGGAUAACCUACCUAUAAGACUGGGAUAACUUCGGGAAACCGUAGCUAAUACCGGAUAAUAUUUUGAACCGCAUGGUUCAAAAGUGAAAGACGGUCUUGCUGUCACUUAUAGAUGGAUCCGCGCUGCAUUAGCUAGUUGGUAAGGUAACGGCUUACCAAGGCAACGAUGCAUAGCCGACCUGAGAGGGUGAUCGGCCACACUGGAACUGAGACACGGUCCAGACUCCUACGGGAGGCAGCAGUAGGGAAUCUUCCGCAAUGGGCGAAAGCCUGACGGAGCAACUCCGCGUGAGUGAUGAAGGUCUUCGGAUCGUAAAACUCUGUUAUUAGGGAAGAACAUAUGUGUAAGUAACUGUGCACAUCUUGACGGUACCUAAUCAGAAAGCCACGGCUAACUACGUG
Molecule: ribosomal RNA, 497 nt
Filed under: uncultured bacterium
Lineage: Bacteria
Description: partial 16S ribosomal RNA
Rfam family: Bacterial small subunit ribosomal RNA
Source: RNAcentral